This 272-nucleotide ribosomal RNA is filed under the name uncultured bacterium. Its description in RNAcentral is "partial 16S ribosomal RNA". It matches the Rfam family "Bacterial small subunit ribosomal RNA", at positions 82 to 354 of the family's 1533-position model. The record is from RNAcentral.
UGUUGGUAUCUUAGUGGCGGACGGGGUGAGUAACGCGUGGGUAACCUGCCUUACACUGGGGGAUAACACUUAGAAAUAGGUGCUAAUACCGCAUAACAGGGAAAGAUGCAUGUCUUUUCCUUAAAAACUCCGGUGGUGUAAGAUGGACCCGCGUCUGAUUAGCUUGUUGGCGGGGUAACGGCCCACCAAGGCGACGAUCAGUAGCCGGCCUGAGAGGGUGAACGGCCACAUUGGGACUGAGACACGGCCCAAACUCCUACGGAAGGCAGCAG